This is a long non-coding RNA of Scatophagus argus, 750 nucleotides long. RefSeq lists it as uncharacterized. Lineage: Eukaryota; Metazoa; Chordata; Actinopteri; Scatophagidae. The transcript has 3 exons. The record is from RefSeq and is a predicted model, not a curated record.
UGAAUUUUAUCUACAGAUGUAUUUAUCCCUUGCCUGUAUCUCCAUAGCCAUCAUGACGAUAUGUUCAGAAUCAGAUGAACGUGAGAUACUAUUAGAAUCUCAAUAAUAUACUAUAUUAUAAUGAUGAAAGCACUGCUUUAUUCUGCAGUUUAUGCUCAAGUACUUGUGUGUAUUAGUCUGAGUCUAACGUGACGGUGCUUUGUUGACGUUGAGUCUUUGUCCUUGUCUGUGCUGUGGUGUCCUACCCUGAGGAGGUGGAUGUGAUUGUUGAGACACUGCAGGGCGUCUUUACCAAGGGAGUCUGUAGCAGCACCCUGAGCUGACCCUGACAACUCUGGGGCUGAUGCCGCACCAAAGACUACUUUCUCAGCCCGUGAGCCUGGGGCGCCACCCGCUCAAAAUAUGGUCGCACUCAAAUGGACCCUCCGCAGGGUUUCGAACCCCUGCAGGCACAAAAGAGUAAGAAGGCUCCUAUUGCUAUGUGCAUGUUUAUGGUGGGUCUGUGGUCAAGGUACGACAGGCCCGGUUGACAAAGCCUCUCCUGAAGAAUAGUGGGGCCCAGCCAGGCCCAAACAUCCUGACGGAGAGAGGCUUUUCCCUUAUCAGUCAGGAAACACCGCUUCUCCGCCACAUCCUCUUUACAAGAAGCACGACUCAACCGUUCCCAAAAAAUGCAGGAAGACCAGCCAGACUCCAGGAUUUGUCAAAAGCCCCCUGAAUUCCUUUUAUCGAAAAAGAAAAAUUCAAGAG